This 221-nucleotide long non-coding RNA is filed under the name Elaeis guineensis (African oil palm). RNAcentral's name for it is "long non-coding RNA (EGUI_LNC018620)". Lineage: Eukaryota; Viridiplantae; Streptophyta; Magnoliopsida; Arecales; Arecaceae. The record is from RNAcentral.
CCUCCUCUUCUUCUUCCUUUUUCUUUCCCUUCUUUGCCUCCUCUUUUUCUUCUUGUCUCUCAUUCUUCUCAUCAUCCUUUGACCCUCCUCCUCCUCCUUCAAUCUUUUUCUUGGAUUUGGCAUCAUCAUCAUCCUCACUGUCAGAUGUGGAUGCAUAUGAUUCAGAUCCAAAGUCAGAUGAGUAAAAACCAUAAAAUACCACUCCAUGAUUCUUUCUUUCC